This 364-nucleotide transfer-messenger RNA is filed under the name Enterobacteriaceae (enterobacteria). RNAcentral's name for it is "1-19 sp002837195 Standard tmRNA". It matches the Rfam family "transfer-messenger RNA". Rfam says of the family: Bacterial tmRNA, also known as 10Sa RNA or SsrA, is named for its dual tRNA and mRNA-like properties. Its role is to liberate the mRNA from a stalled ribosome. RNAcentral also lists the same sequence under 1 other name. Lineage: Bacteria; Pseudomonadati; Pseudomonadota; Gammaproteobacteria; Enterobacterales. The record is from RNAcentral.
GGGGCUGAUUCUGGAUUCGACGGGAUUUGCGAAGCCCAAGGAGCAUGCCGAGGGGCGGUUGGCCUCGUAAAAAGCCGCAAAAAAAUAGUCGCAAACGACGAAAACUACGCUUUAGCAGCUUAAUAACCUGCUCAGAGCCCUCUCUCCCUAGCCUCCGCUCUUAGGACGGGGAUCAAGAGAGGUCAAACCCAAAAGAGAUCGCGUGGAGGCCCUGCCUGGGGUUGAAGCGUUAAACUUAAUCAGGCUAGUUUGUUAGUGGCGUGUCCAUCCGCAGCCGGCAAGCGAAUGUAAAGAUUGGACUAAGCAUGUAGUGCCGACGGUGUAGUAAUUUCGGACGCGGGUUCAACUCCCGCCAGCUCCACCA